UACGUAGGGUGCAAGCGUUGUCCGGAAUUACUGGGCGUAAAGCGCACGUAGGCGGCUUUCUAAGUCGGGGGUGAAAUCCUGGAGCUCAACUCCAGAACUGCCUUCGAUACUGGAGAGCUCGAGUCCGGGAGAGGUGAGUGGAACUGCGAGUGUAGAGGUGAGAUUCGUAGAUAUUCGCAAGAACACCAGUGGCGAAGGCGGCUCACUGGCCCGGUACUGACGCUGAGGUGCGAAAGCGUGGGGAGCAAACAGG
This 253-nucleotide ribosomal RNA is filed under the name uncultured bacterium. RNAcentral's name for it is "partial 16S ribosomal RNA". It matches the Rfam family "Bacterial small subunit ribosomal RNA", at positions 524 to 776 of the family's 1533-position model. The record is from RNAcentral.